AGUGAACGCUGGCGGUAGGCCUAACACAUGCAAGUCGAACGGCAGCACAGUAAGAGCUUGCUCUUACGGGUGGCGAGUGGCGGACGGGUGAGGAAUAUAUCGGAACCUACUCUUUCGUGUGGGAUAACGUAGGGAAACCUACGCCAAUAUCGCAUAUGACCUACGGGUGAAAGCAGGGGAUCUUCUGACCUUGCGCGGAUGAACUAGCCGCUGUCGGAUUAGCUAGUUGGCGGGGUAAAGGCCCACCAAGGCGACGAUCCGUAGCUGGUCUGAGAGGAUGGGCAGCCACACUGGAAGUGAGACACGGUACAGACGCCUACGGGAGGCAGCAGGGGGGAAUAGUGGACAAUGGGCGGGAGCCUGAUCCAGCGGGAGCGCGUGGGUGAAGGAGGCCUUGGGGUUGGAAAGCCGUUUUGUGGGGAAAGAAAAGCAGCAGGUUGAGACGCCGCUGGUCUGACGGUACCGGGAGAAUAAGCACCGGCUAACUUCGUG
RNAcentral lists this ribosomal RNA (492 nucleotides) under uncultured bacterium. RNAcentral describes it as "partial 16S ribosomal RNA". It matches the Rfam family "Bacterial small subunit ribosomal RNA", at positions 30 to 507 of the family's 1533-position model. The record is from RNAcentral.